Molecule: non-coding RNA, 20 nt
Filed under: Arabidopsis thaliana (thale cress)
Lineage: Eukaryota; Viridiplantae; Streptophyta; Magnoliopsida; Brassicales; Brassicaceae
Source: RNAcentral
CGACGUCGCGAGAAGUCCAC